RNAcentral lists this ribosomal RNA (357 nucleotides) under Clostridioides difficile. RNAcentral describes it as "partial 23S ribosomal RNA". It matches the Rfam family "Bacterial large subunit ribosomal RNA", at positions 2565 to 2925 of the family's 2925-position model. The record is from RNAcentral. Lineage: Bacteria; Bacillati; Bacillota; Clostridia; Peptostreptococcales; Peptostreptococcaceae.
CCAAGGGUUGGGCUGUUCGCCCAUUAAAGUGGUACGCGAGCUGGGUUCAGAACGUCGUGAGACAGUUCGGUCCCUAUCCGUCGCAGGCGUAGGAAAUUUGAGAAGACCUGUCCUUAGUACGAGAGGACCGGGAUGGACGUACCUCUGGUGUACCAGUUGUUCUGCCAAGGGCAUGGCUGGGUAGCUAUGUACGGAAUGGAUAAGCGCUGAAAGCAUCUAAGCGCGAAGCCAACUUCAAGAUAAGAUUUCCCACCGCAAGGGUAAGACCCCAGAAAGACUAUCUGGUUGAUAGGUCGAAGGUGUAAGUGCAGCAAUGUAUUUAGCUUAUCGAUACUAAUAGGUCGAGGACUUGACCAA